UUUCUGGAAUGGAUCAUGGCUGAAACCUACAUGGCCUCUGGAUUGGACUGCGGCCGAUCAGGCUGUUGGUGAGGUAAUGGCCCACCGAACCUGUAACCGGUACGGGCUCUGAGAGGAGGAGCCCGGAGAUGGGCACUGAGACAAGGGCCCAGGCCCUAUGGGGCGCAGCAGGCGCGAAACCUCUGCAAUAGGCGAAAGCUUGACAGGGUUACUCUGAGUGAUGUCCGCUAAGGGCAUCUUUUGGCACUUCUAAAAAUAGUGUAGAAUAAGGGGUGGGCAAGUCUGGUGUCAGCCGCCGCGGUAAUACCAGCACCCCGAGUGGUCGGGACGAUUAUUGGGCCUAAAGCAUCCGUAGCCGGUUCUGCAAGUCUUCCGUUAAAUCCACCUGCUCAACAGAUGGGCUGCGGAGGAUACUACAGGGCUAGGAGGCGGGAGAGGCAAGCGGUACUCAGUGGGUAGGGGUAAAAUCCUCUGAUCCACUGAAGACCACCAGUGGCGAAGGCGGCUUGCCAGAACGCGCUCGACGGUGAGGGAUGAAAGCUGGGGGAGCAAACCGGAUUAGAUACCCGGGUAGUCCCAGCUGUAAACGAUGCAGACUCGGUGAUGGGUUGGCUUCGAGCCAACCCAGUGCCGCAGGGAAGCCGUUAAGUCUGCCGCCUGGGAUAC
This 666-nucleotide ribosomal RNA is filed under the name uncultured archaeon. RNAcentral describes it as "bacterial SSU rRNA". It matches the Rfam family "Archaeal small subunit ribosomal RNA", at positions 167 to 836 of the family's 1478-position model. The record is from RNAcentral.